AUGGCCUGCCUCAAGCUGGGAUCAAGGGCUGAUGUAUUCAGGAAGCAGGGUCAAGACUGGUAUUGCACUACUGGCCUUCCCAGUGAUAUAACUGUGGUGGUUGGGGAACAAUCUUUUCAUCUCCACAAGUUUCCUCUAUUAUCAAAGAGUGGCCUUCUGGAACGUCUCAUCAGAGAGAAAAUUGAGAAGGGAGAAGAUAGCUGUGCCAUUGAUCUAUCUGAUAUUCCUGGGGGAGCAAAGGCUUUUGAACUAGCUGCUAGGUUCUGCUAUGGUGUGAAGUUUGAAUUGACUUCCUCCAAUGUUGUGCACCUUCGCUGCGCUUCUGAGUAUCUUGAGAUGGCUGAAGAGAUCGCCGAGGGAAAUUUGAUUGCGCAGACAGAGAACUUCCUUACCCAGACAGUUCUCAAAAGCUGGAAAGAUUCAAUCAAGGCACUUCAUACUUGCGAUGACGUCAUUGAUCUUGCUGAAAAAUUGCAAGUUGUGAAGAAGUGCAUAGACUCAGUUGCAACUAAAUCAAGCACUGAUCCCGAUGUAUUUGGCUGGCCUGUCGCCCAGUAUGGUGGUCCCACACAGAGUCCUGGAGGGAGCUUCUUGUGGAAUGGUAUUAGCACUGGAGCAAGGCCAAGAAAUUGCAGUUCAGAUUGGUGGUAUGAUGAUGUGUCAUGCUUAAGCCUUCCAUUAUACAAGAAGGUAAUCUCAGCUAUGGAAUACCGAGGCGUCAAUCAGGACAUUAUUGUUGGAUCCCUUAACCAUUAUGCCAAAAGGCGUUUACCUGGUCUGAAUCGGCGCAAAAGCAUUAGUGAUGUCAGUAACUGCCUUUCAGUGUCAACUUUAACCACCAUGCCUUCUGAAGAGGAGCAAAGGUAUCUUCUUGAGGAGAUUGAUAGGCUGUUACCUUUCCAAAGGGGUGUUACAUCUUGCAAGCUGUUAUUUGGCCUUCUGCGCACAGCGAUCUUCCUUAAAGCCAGCUCAUCCUGCAUGUCCAACUUGGAGCGUCGGAUAGGUUUGCAGCUUGACAAGGCCACUCUGGAAGAUCUUCUGAUAACAAACAUGUCUGAAUCCAUUGAAAUGCUCUAUGAUGUGGAUUGCGUACAUAGGAUUCUUGACCACUUCUUGGCAAUGGAUCAAGAAACUGGUGGAGCUUCUCCUGGCAUUGGCGAAGAUGGGCACCUAUUGGCUUCUCCAUCUCUAUUGCCGAUUACUAUGGUUGCUAAGUUGAUCGACGGCUACCUAGCUGAAGUUGCACCAGAUGCCAACCUAAAGUUGCCAAAGUUUGUGUCUUUGGCUGCCGCCAUACCAGACUAUGCUCGGCCAAUAGAUGAUGGACUUUACCGCGCCGUUGACAUCUAUCUGAAGGCGCAUCCCCAUCUGUCGGAAUCGGAGAAGGAAGAGCUUUGCCGGGUGAUGGACUGCCAGAAGCUCUCUCUGGAGGCUUGCACCCACGCGGCGCAGAACGAGCGUCUCCCCCUGCGGGUCAUCGUGCAGGUCCUCUUCUUCGAGCAGCUGCAGCUCCGGAGCUCCAUCGCGGAGUGCCUGAUGAUCUCCGAGAACCUCGAGGGCGGAUCGAGGCAGCUUGGCAUGCCAACCUCUAGUGAGCAGCACCGUGGCGGUGUCGGCUGGCCCCUGGCCGCCAGGGAGAACCAGGCCCUGCGCGAGGGCAUGGACGGCAUGAAGCAGCGGGUGGCCGAGCUGGAGAAGGAGUGCUCCACCAUGCGGGAGGAGAUUGCGAGGCUGGGCCGCAGCAGGAGCGCCGGCAAGGGCAGGCUGUUCUCCCUUGGCACAAGGCCGCAGAUCUGCAGCACCGCCAAGGAUGCUACCCCCGCGAAGGUGACAACGGCGAGCGACGACGAGAGGCUGGCUGUGGUGAAAGUUGAUGCCACACCCCGGCUGAAGCUGAGCAGACACAAGAAGAACCUGUCCAUAGAGGCCUAG
RNAcentral lists this ribosomal RNA (1932 nucleotides) under Triticum aestivum (bread wheat). Its description in RNAcentral is "partial small subunit ribosomal RNA". The record is from RNAcentral. Lineage: Eukaryota; Viridiplantae; Streptophyta; Magnoliopsida; Poales; Poaceae.